UACGUAGGGGGCGAGCGUUGUCCGGAUUUAUUGGGCGUAAAGAGCUCGUAGGUGGUUUGGUAAGUCGGAUGUGAAAUCUCCAGGCUCAACCUGGAGGGGUCAUUCGAUACUGCCAUGACUAGAGUUCGGUAGGGGAGUGUGGAAUUCCUGGUGGAGCGGUGAAAUACGCAGAUAUCAGGAAGAACACCAAUGGCGAAAGCAGCUCUCUGGGACGGUACUGACGCUGAGACGCGAAAGCGUGGGGAGCAAACAGG
Molecule: ribosomal RNA, 254 nt
Filed under: uncultured bacterium
Lineage: Bacteria
Description: partial 16S ribosomal RNA
Rfam family: Bacterial small subunit ribosomal RNA
Source: RNAcentral